UCAAAUUUAGAAAACAUUAGCAAGGCAAGAGAAAUAUCAUUACCUAAAAGAAGAGUAAGGGCAGGUAUUCUCAAAUCUAAAGGUUAAGUGCGGGAUUCUAGAAUAGGAAAGUAACAAUGAUAUGGGAUUACAUGUAAUUCUAUGUUUGGUUGACUCCUUAAGUAAUGAGGAUUCAGUUAUUCAAUAACCAGAUCCUCCAAGAUUUCCUCUCAAACUCUAUCCUUAUCUUUCUGAAUUAAGGAUAGAAAGUCAGGGUUUCUUGGGGUAAUCCUGCUCCUACAUAUAUCUGUGUUUUUCUUCAUCAUUUAAUAAUACUUGUGGGAAACGAUUUUGGAAAAUUACAUGGUGUUGAAGCAAGGCACUCCAGAAAAUUGCCUUCUUUGAAACCCAAACCAAAUUUCAUGACCAAGUACGGCAUGAACACCUCAUCGUCCAAGGUAACCUCAAAUCCUGAAGGAGUAACAAUCAGGAAUAAUCAUGGAGGAUCAGGAGGACUAUCUUCCCUUAUCACAAGCCAUAAAGUUAACGGCCACAACUACCUUCAAUGGUCGCAAUUUGUGAUGAUGUACAUUGGCGGAAAAGGUAAAGAUGCAUAUGUUACAGGCAAAGUAACAGUUCCAAACAAAGUUGUACCAACUUCAGGGUCUAGAAAACUGGGAUUCACAGGGUCAUGACAUGGCUAAUCAAGUCCAUGAAAAAUGAGAAGCCAAACUACAUGGUGUCCAAGCGAUCUCACUGUUACCCAGUACUUCUACACUCUUAGCCGAUACUGGCAACAACUAGACAUGUUCGAGACUCAUGCUUUGAAGUGUCCUAAAAAACAAACUUGUACAAGAAGAUGGUAGAGAAAAAGAGGAUCUUUAAGUUCUUACUUGGUCUCAGCAAGAACUGAGAUGAAGUGAGAGGAAGAGGUGAUGGGAACUAAGUUUCUUCCAAGUCUUGGAAAACAUUUAGUUCGUCGAGAAGAGAGUAGAACAAAUGUAAUGAUGGGAACUCAAGUUCCACACAUGCGUUGGAGGGAUCAACCUUGGUGACCCGGGGAUCCACCCAAAUCACUCCAAUGAAAACCAUGAUCAUGGUAGAAAACCAGGAUACUCGAGAGAAAACUACUAGAAAAUUCAUAGUAAACCCAUUGAUUGGAAGCAUACACACAGCGACAAAGAUAAUUGGGCCCAUGCUGCCCCACAGAAGAAAAAACAUCCCUGAAGAAAGUCCCUUUUGUAAAGAGCAGCUAGAGGUGCUCUAGAAGCUCCUAAGUCAGAACACUCUCCAUCAGUUUCCUGCUCCCUGUCUCGGACUAGAUUGAUAGCCUAGAAAGGUAACAAUUCCACUGCCUUGUUUGUUAAUACAAAACACGCAAGUACUUGGAUUGUAGAUUCUAGUGCUUCAGAUCACAUGACUGGAGAUGUUAAAUUAUUCCAUCAAUACAGACCUAGCAAGGAAAACUACCAUGUUCAAACUACAAUGUUCAAAUUCCUGAUGGUUCCUUCUCCAAAAUUGAAGGUCUCGGGACAGUGAGAAUUACCAAGCACGUGACUCUAAACUCAGUUUUAUAUGUUCCCAAUUUGGAUUAUAAUCUUGUUUCAUUAGUAAAUUGACUAGUGAUCACAACUUUGAAGCUAAAUUCUUUCAUUUCACAUGUGAAUUUCAAGAAUUGGAAUCGGGGAAGAAGAUUGGUAGUGCUAAGAUGUGUUCUGGAAUCUACCUCCUCAAGGAAGGUCUUUCUCUUCGAAACCAGACCCAAAAUGCUGGUAUGUCUUGUAAGCGGUUGUUAUCUUUCUAAUAAAGAUGUGAGGUUAUUACCUUUCUAAUAAAGAUGUGAGGUUAUGUUGUGGCACUAUUGACUAGGUCAUCCAAUUUUACAUACCUUGAAAAUUGUGACCAUCCUUAUUCAUUGAUAAAAGUUCAAAGCUUUUCAAUUGUGAAGUGUGCCAACUCUCCAAACAUACACGUAGAAGUUAUCCUAGUCUCACAUACGAACCUUCUCACCCUUUUGCCUUAAUUCACGAUGAUGUGCGGGUUCUUCAAGAGUGAAAAACAUAACAGGUUCAAGGUAGUUGUAUCAUUAUUUAAUUUUUUUUUUUUUGAAAUAAAAAUGUGAAUUGUAUAUUGAUAGGUACCAAAAGGAAUGAUGCCCAUGUACAAAAAUUUACAAGUUAAUUAAAGUAUAAAAAAGGUUCUCUAAAUCUGCCCUAGUAUAUAGAGAAUGACCAUUAAUAAAAAAUCGAGGGUCUGGAACCAUCUAUACUUAGAAUAUCAAUUUCAUCAACAUUUUCAACCCAUCAAAAACCUUUCUAUUCGUUUCCUUCGACACCACCCAAAAGAUAGUAAGCGAAAUAAUCUCCACUUUUUUUCUGCAACCACUAAUGCGCUUCCAAGCCCACAACCUCUUCCCUCACCAGACCUGCCAUCACUCAAUUAAUACCAAGCAACCCAUAAAUCAUAAUCCACAGCUUAUAAACCACAGGACACCAUAGCAAAAGAUGAUUGCAAGUCUCUUCCGUCCUCGUACGCAAAUAACAAGGAUUGACCCGUACCUUUCCCUUUUCCCCAAAUUGUCAAUUAUCAGACAACGUUCCCUGGUGGCCUCCCAAGUAAAAGACGGAACUCGGGGAUGGACUGUUGUGUUCCACAUUUGUAUCAUUUAUUGAUGAUCAUAAUAGGUUAACAUAGGUAUUUCUUAUGAAAGAAAAAACUAAGGUUGGCCAAAUCUUCCAAAACUUCAAUAGUAUGAUACAAACUCAAUUCCAUAGCAAGAUUCAAGCUCUCAAAACUAAUAAUGCCAAAGAAUAUUUCAAAAUCUGUCCUUGGCGCCUAUCUCCCUAAUCAAGCAUAAUUUACAUAAGGUCAUGUGUUGACACUCUGCUACUAAACAGAGUUAUUGAAAGAAAAAACAGGCACCUCUUAGAGGUAGCCCAAUCUCUCAUGUUGUUCUCCUAUGUUCCAAAACAUUUUUAGGGAGAAGCAGUUCUUAUAACCACAUAUCUCAUCAGUUGAAUGCCCUCAAGAAGUUUACAAUUCGAAACUCCAUGUCACACCAUUCUCAAAGUCUUCCCACAUACCAAGAUUGUGUCCACAUUGAAUCCAAAAGUAUUUGGGUGUUCCACAUUUGUCCAUAUACAGUCCUAGCACUGUAGGAAAUUAGACCUAAAAUCCAUUAAAUGCAUAAUCUUGGAUUACUCUCCAAACCGAAAAUGCUACAAAUGUUAUCCUCUAAUCACCAGAAAAUUCUGUACUUUAAUGGACGUGACAUUCUUUGAAAAUCAGCCAUGUUACCCAAACCUGAAAUUCAGGGGGAGAAAAUUGGAGAAUAUCAGCUUUGGGAUAAUGACCAACAGUCAAGGGACUCUAUAUGGUUGCCAUUACCUAAACCAAACUCAAUACCGAUUCCCAGCCACCUCCACCAUGCAAACUACAACCUGGAACCACUGAUCAUACAAAAAACCAACAGCAAACUCAAUCUCUUGAUGAUCGCCUGAUCCCAUCUUACCCAAGAGUCAAAUGUAGACAAACACCUGUCCCUCACCUCAAUCAUGGAUGACAACCAAAACCUUAACGAGGAACUGAUUGUCUACAAUUGGAGAAGGAAAACUGAAAGGGAGGUAGGGCACUCAACACACUUGAUGAUCAAGAAUUUGGACCUCCACCAAUUCGCACCCAAGAUCACACCGACAAGGAAAUUUCUGGUCUUGACUCUACAUCUAGAAUGGAUGACUUAAAUAUUCUAAUUGCUCUAAGAAAAGGAGUAAGAACUUCCACAAACUACCCAAUCUGCAUGUAUAUUUCUUAUAAAGGAUUGUCUCCAUCCUAGAAGCUUUUGUAUGUACCAUUGACGAUGAGUAGAUUCCUAAUUCCAUCUAGCAGGCACUCAAGAAUCUUGAAUGGAAAUAAGCAAUUAGAGAUGAAAUUAGAGCACUUGAGAAGAAUGACACAUGGGUGAUUUCUGAUCUUCUCCUGGAAAGAAAACUGUUGCCUGUAAGUGGACUUUUACUAUUAGCAUAAGGCAGAUGGAAGCAUUGAGAGACUACAAGCCAGACUUGUUGAAAGAGAUUUACUGUAUCAUAUAGAAUAAAUUGUAAGGAAACCUUUGGUUUAGUGGCUAAACUCAACACUAUAGUGGCCAGGUAACAACUUGAUCUCAAAAAUGCUUUUCUGAAUGGAGAUCUUGAGGAAAAGGUGUACAUGAACAUUGCUCGAGGACUUGAAGCAAACCUCAACAUCAACGAGGUCUGCAAACUGAAAAAAUCUCUUUAUGACCUAAAACAGUUCCCAUGGGCCUGGUUUGGGAGGUUUACAAAGUCCAUGAGAAAAAUUGGGUAUGCUCAAUAUCAAGCUGACCAUACUCUCUUUGCGAAACGAUCCUUAUAAAAGAACAUUGCUUUUCUCACUGUGUAUUUUGACGACAUCAGUCACGGGCAAUUAUGAAGAGGAACUGUUGAAGCUCUAAAAAUUUCUGGCCAUGGAAUUUGAAAUAAAAGACCUUAGCAAUCUUAAAUUCUUUCUAGGCAUGGAGGUGUGAAGAUCAGAGAAGAGUUUAUUCAUCUCACAAUGCAAAUACAUCCUGGACUUACUGAAGGAAACUAGAAGGCUAGGUUGUAAGCUUGUAGAUACCCCAAUGGACCCUAUUACAAGGAUAGGAAAUAAGAAGGGAAGUAAGCCAAUGGACAGGGGGAGCUAUCAGACACUUAUUGGUAGACUCAUCUAUUUAUCCCACACCAGACAGAUGUUAGGUUCUCAAUUAGUGAUGUCAGCCAAUUCAUGCAUGACCCAACUAAGGAACGCAUGGAGGCUGUGUACAAGAUUUUGAGGUACCUCAAGAUGACUCCAGGAAGAGGAUUACUUUACAAGAAGCAAGUUACCUGGGACAUAUUUGUUUUCUGUGGUGUAGACUAGGCAGGAGAUGUGAAGGAUAAAAGAUCCACUUUGGGUAAUGUUCCUAUGUCUAGAGGUACUUAGUUACAUGAAGAAGCAAAAAACAACCUGUUGUUUCGAGAAGCAGUGCUGAAGCUGAAUUUAGAGCAUUCACAUUGGGAAUUUGUUAAGGUAUGUGGAUAAAGAGACUCCUUGGUGCAUUGGAGAUAAUUAUUAAGACACCUAUCAGCCUAUACUAUGGCAACCAGACUGCCAUUAGUAUAACAAAGAAUCCUGUGCAUCAUGACCAAACAAAGCAAAUAGAAAUUGACGCCACUUCAUUUAAGAGAAAAUUGAAAAUCCUGUAGUUCAAGUGAUCUGCAUGCCUGCAAAAUCACAGACUGCUAAUAUCCUCACUAAAGCCCUUCCAGUAACCACCUCUGAAGAACUCUGUAGCAAGCUAUGUUUGUUCAAUAUUUGCAACCCAGGUUGAGGGAGAGUGUAGGAUUCUAGAAUCGGAAGGUUAUAUGAGAUUCCUUGUAAUUCUAGAUUUAGUUGACUCCUUAAAUAAUGAGGAUUUGGUUAUUCAAUAACCAGAUCCUCCUAGAUUCCUCCCAAACUCUACCUUAUCUUUCCGAAUUAAGGAUAGAAAGUUAGGAUUUGUUGGUGUAAUCCUACUCCUAUAUAUUGCUGUAUUUUUCUUCAUCAUAAUAAUAAUACUUCUGAGAAAUAAUCCCUCAGAGAAUUACAGGAAA
Non-coding RNA from Carica papaya (papaya), 5606 nucleotides. The record is from RefSeq and is a predicted model, not a curated record. Lineage: Eukaryota; Viridiplantae; Streptophyta; Magnoliopsida; Brassicales; Caricaceae.